GCCAUCUCCCUCACGGCCUGCAGUCGCCAGCUGCCCCCUCACACAGCGGGGCACCCCGAAGCCCGCAGCACCGGCACGGCCCACCCCCCCCUCAGCGACCUGUGGCCCCCCCAGCGCUGCAGAGCAGCAGGAAAGGAAGAAGCAUGGUCACUGCUUGGCUGCUGGAUGAAAGAUGAACAGCAUGACUGAACAACAUGCCAUGGGGAGCAGAGAGCUUGAGGCAGCCUCAGUGCAGUGCUCUUGUAGGCACUUAGAAACCAUACACAAUGGGAAGCAUAUGCAAGAUCGCUGGCAGAAGCCAUCACAUCACAUUUAGUUUCUCUCUACUGAUCAUGUGUGAGAUAUGUUUAGAGAGAUUUUUUUUUUUUUUCUCCCUUGUUUUAAUGAUAAUGGAGGCUGGGGCUUGUUGCCUUGGAGUUUUUGAUUCUUUAAUUUUUAUAGGUUUUAGAAGUAGUUAUGUAGUGAAUGUAGAUUUUAGAAGUAGCUGUAUUAUAUCCCUUACCCUUUAGCGUAGUAGUUACACAUAUACCCAACCCUAUUACCCCAAUUCCAUAUCAGUUCCCCUAAAUUCCAGUAGCAUAUUUAGUCUUCUUUUCAAGGUAGGCCUUCAUUCUGUUUAAGAACAUCUGCCCCCUGGCCUGGACAACAAGAUAUCACCCAGGACUUUGGAAAGCCUCCAAGGACUUUACGUGCUGCAAAGAAGAAGAUGAGGAAGAGAGGGUCCCAAAACACCUCCAGACUCAAUUCCUGAGGGGCAGGGCAGGGGCAAAAUGGGGCAAAGGCCGGGGGAUGGACGAGCAGGAAUUGGCUGGACAUCAUUAUAAAAUUAUAACGCCCGGGUCAGGGGGUGCACGCAUGGUUUGUAUCUUCAUUAAAACCUUCCCUUAUCUUACCACCUCCUUAAA
Molecule: long non-coding RNA, 905 nt
Organism: Pseudopipra pipra
Lineage: Eukaryota; Metazoa; Chordata; Aves; Passeriformes; Pipridae
Exons: 2
Source: RefSeq, a predicted model, not a curated record